Molecule: small nucleolar RNA, 138 nt
Organism: Tachyglossus aculeatus (Australian echidna)
Lineage: Eukaryota; Metazoa; Chordata; Mammalia; Monotremata; Tachyglossidae
Source: RefSeq, a predicted model, not a curated record
UUCCUCUCAGGGUCGCACUUGGAGAGUUUCCAGGGAUCUACCAGUCUCGAUUAUGGGAGGGAGAGUGAAGCAGAGGCCUACCCUUUCCAUUUCUAGCUUGGGCAGUGGCUAGUGAGUGGAAGGCAAUCUACUACGAGU